GAGUUUGAUCUUGGCUCAGAUUGAACGCUGGCGGCAUGCCUUACACAUGCAAGUCGAACGGCAGCACGGGAGCUUGCUCCUGGUGGCGAGUGGCGAACGGGUGAGUAAUGCAUCGGAACGUAUCCUGGAGUGGGGGAUAACGUAGCGAAAGUUACGCUAAUACCGCAUAUUCUGUGAGCAGGAAAGCGGGGGACCUUCGGGCCUCGCGCUCUUGGAGCGGCCGAUGUCGGAUUAGCUAGUUGGUGAGGUAAAGGCUCACCAAGGCGACGAUCCGUAGCAGGUCUGAGAGGAUGAUCUGCCACACUGGAACUGAGACACGGUCCAGACUCCUACGGGAGGCAGCAGUGGGAAUUUUGGACAAUGGGGGCAACCCUGAUCCAGCCAUGCCGCGUGAGUGAAGAAGGCCUUGGCGUGUAAAGCGUCUUUGUCGAGGAAGAAA
This 439-nucleotide ribosomal RNA is filed under the name bacterium enrichment culture clone ALO1_GLFRUDD03F0MN9. RNAcentral's name for it is "bacterial SSU rRNA". It matches the Rfam family "Bacterial small subunit ribosomal RNA", at positions 9 to 450 of the family's 1533-position model. The record is from RNAcentral.